GAGACGCCGCCGCCUGUGACGUCGUUUGCGCUCAGUUUGUUCAGAUACGCUGGGGCUCCAUUCUGGCGGUGGUCCCGACGCUCCUCUUGGUCGUGCUUGUCAUCCAAAACAUCGUCUUCUUCCACUUGAACAGGCCUCAGGACAUCGUCAAAGAGUUGGGCGCGCUGGUGGCGACUUUGCCCAACAGCAUCCCAGACCACAACUGCACCGAUUUAGCCUGCCACUGGGCGGCGCUGCAGACCGCAUUGGCAGAGCUGAAGGCAGAGCUGAAGGCAGAGCUGAAGGCAGGUCAGGAGGCAGGUCAGACGGCAUUGGCAGAGCUGAAGGCAGGUCAGACCGCAUUGGCAGAGCUGAAGGCAGGUCAGGAGGCAGG
This is a long non-coding RNA of Syngnathus acus (greater pipefish), 373 nucleotides long. RefSeq lists it as uncharacterized. Lineage: Eukaryota; Metazoa; Chordata; Actinopteri; Syngnathiformes; Syngnathidae. The record is from RefSeq and is a predicted model, not a curated record. The transcript has 4 exons.